ACUCCUACGGGAGGCAGCAGUAGGGAAUCUUCCGCAAUGGGCGAAAGCCUGACGGAGCAACGCCGCGUGAGUGAUGAAGGUCUUCGGAUCGUAAAACUCUGUUUAUUAGGGAAGAACAUACGUGUAAGUAACUAUGCACGUCUUGACGGUACCUAAUCAGAAAGCCACGGCUAACUACGUGCCAGCAGCCGCGGUAAUACGUAGGUGGCAAGCGUUAUCCGGAAUUAUUGGGCGUAAAGCGCGCGUAGGCGGCUUUUUAAGUCUGAUGUGAAAGCCCAGC
This 280-nucleotide ribosomal RNA is filed under the name uncultured bacterium. RNAcentral describes it as "partial 16S ribosomal RNA". It matches the Rfam family "Bacterial small subunit ribosomal RNA", at positions 335 to 606 of the family's 1533-position model. The record is from RNAcentral.